RNAcentral lists this ribosomal RNA (487 nucleotides) under uncultured bacterium. Its description in RNAcentral is "bacterial SSU rRNA". It matches the Rfam family "Bacterial small subunit ribosomal RNA", at positions 28 to 531 of the family's 1533-position model. The record is from RNAcentral.
GACGAACGCUGGCGGCGUGCCUAAUACAUGCAAGUCGGACGGGGUAUUUGAGCAAUCGGAUACCUAGUGGCGAACGGGUGAGUAACGCGUUGGUGACCUGCCCCGAAGCGGGGGGACAACAGUUCGAAAGGGCUGCUAAUACCCCAUGAUGUUGCUGGAGAUUAGAAACCGGUAACGAAAGGAGAGAUUCGCUUCGGGAGGGGCCUGCGUCCCAUCAGCUAGUUGGUAGGGUAAAGGCCUACCAAGGCGUGGACGGGUAGGGGACCUGAGAGGGUGGCCCCCCACAAUGGAACUGAAACACGGUCCAUACACCUACGGGUGGCAGCAGUAGGGAAUAUUGCACCAUGGGCGGAAGCCUGAUGCAGCAACGCCGCGUGAGUGAAGAAGGCCUUCGGGUCGUAAAACUCUUUUCAAGGGGAAGAGGAAGGACGGUACCUUGGAAUAAGCAUCGGCUAACUACGUGCCAGCAGCCGCGGUAAGCUGUAGU